GGAUUAGAUACCCUGGUAGUCCUAGCCGUAAACGAUGGGCACUAAGUAGAGGGAUUGAAUCUCUCUGCCGGAGCAAAAGUAUUAAGUGCCCCGCCUGGGGAGUAUGGUCGCAAGGCUGAAACUCAAAGGAAUUGACGGGGGCUCGCACAAGCGGUGGAGUAUGUGGUUUAAUUCGAAGCAACGCGCAGAACCUUACCUGGACUUGACAUGGUAGGAUUAGUGCUUGGAAACAAGUGUGACGCUCUUAGGAGAGGAACUACCACAGGUGUUGCAUGGCUGUCGUCAGCUCGUGUUG
RNAcentral lists this ribosomal RNA (295 nucleotides) under uncultured bacterium. Its description in RNAcentral is "partial 16S ribosomal RNA". It matches the Rfam family "Bacterial small subunit ribosomal RNA", at positions 775 to 1067 of the family's 1533-position model. The record is from RNAcentral.